AUUUAGAGAAAAUUGCAACUUUGGGCCCAAAGGUUUGAAUAAUUAAAUUCAAACCUAUAGUUUUUUUUAAUAUAAUUUUGGGACUCACAAUCCCAUUUUUAUAUUAUUUUUCUCUCUUCCUCUCACGUUGCUCGGCGUUUUCUCGCAAGGGGGGUUAUUUUCUUUUUUCUUCAGAUUAUAUUGACAAAGAUAGUGGUGAAAAAGGAGUUGUGAAGGGGAACUUGUUAUUCAAGACACAAGGAGCGAAUCCGGCCGAGAAAGCACCAGAGGUGUAAUUAUGGUGUAUGAGACACCAUCUUUUACGUUGCCUCUUAUUUUGGAUUAUACAAUGUAUCUUGU
Long non-coding RNA from Prosopis cineraria, 339 nucleotides. RefSeq lists it as uncharacterized. The record is from RefSeq and is a predicted model, not a curated record. Lineage: Eukaryota; Viridiplantae; Streptophyta; Magnoliopsida; Fabales; Fabaceae. The transcript has 3 exons.